This 75-nucleotide transfer RNA is filed under the name Deltaproteobacteria bacterium. RNAcentral describes it as "tRNA-Val". It matches the Rfam family "tRNA". From Rfam's summary of the family: Transfer RNA (tRNA) molecules are approximately 80 nucleotides in length. Their secondary structure includes four short double-helical elements and three loops (D, anti-codon, and T loops). The record is from RNAcentral. Lineage: Bacteria; Pseudomonadati; Myxococcota; Myxococcia. RNAcentral also lists the same sequence under 2 other names.
AGGCGCGUAACUCAGCGGUAGAGUGCUGUCUUGACAAGGCAGAAGUCGGCGGUUCAACCCCGCCCGCGCCUACCA